This 510-nucleotide ribosomal RNA is filed under the name uncultured bacterium. RNAcentral describes it as "partial 16S ribosomal RNA". It matches the Rfam family "Bacterial small subunit ribosomal RNA", at positions 28 to 523 of the family's 1533-position model. The record is from RNAcentral.
GACGAACGCUGGCGGCGUGCCUAAUACAUGCAAGUCGAGCGAAUGACGAGAAGCUUGCUUCUCUGAUUUAGCGGCGGACGGGUGAGUAACACGUGGGCAACCUGCCCUACAGAUCGGGAUAACUCAGGGAAACCUGGGCUAAUACCGGAUAAUCCUUCGAAUCACAUGUUUUGAAGUUGAAAGGCGCUUCGGCGUCACUGUAGGAUGGGCCCGCGGUGCAUUAGCUAGUUGGUGGGGUAACGGCCUACCAAGGCAACGAUGCAUAGCCGACCUGAGAGGGUGAUCGGCCACAUUGGGACUGAGACACGGGCCAAACUCCUACGGGAGGCAGCAGUAGGGAAUCUUCCACAAUGGACGAAAGUCUGAUGGAGCAACGCCUCGGGAGUGAUGAAGGUUUGCGGAUCGUAAAACUCUGUUGUAAGGGAAGAACAAGUACGUUAGGAAAUGAACGUACCUUGACGGUACCUUAUUAGAAAGCCACGGCUAACUACGUGCCAGCCGCCGCGGUAA